This 253-nucleotide ribosomal RNA is filed under the name uncultured bacterium. RNAcentral describes it as "partial 16S ribosomal RNA". It matches the Rfam family "Bacterial small subunit ribosomal RNA", at positions 524 to 776 of the family's 1533-position model. The record is from RNAcentral.
UACGUAGGGUGCGAGCGUUGUCCGGAAUUAUUGGGCGUAAAGGGCUCGUAGGCGGUCUGUCGCGUCGGGAGUGAAAACUCAGGGCUUAACCCUGAGCCUGCUUCCGAUACGGGCAGACUAGAGGUAUGCAGGGGAGAACGGAAUUCCUGGUGUAGCGGUGGAAUGCGUAGAUAUCCGGAGGAACACCAGCGGCGAAGGCGGCAUCCUGGACUGGUCCUGACACUCAGGAGCGAAAGCGUGGGGAGCGAUCCGG